CAAAAACAUGUCUUUUUGAAUAUUAUAUAAGGUCUAACCUGCCCAAUGAGGAAUUGAAUGGCUGCGGUAUUUUAACCGUGCUAAGGUAGCAUAAUCAUUUGUCUUUUAAUUGAGGGCUUGUAUGAAAGGUUGGAUGAAGUAAUAACUUUCUUUAAUUUAACUUAUGAAUUAAAUUUUUUAGUUAAAAAGCUAAAAUGUUCUUAUUGGACGAGAAGACCCUAUAGAUCUUUAUAGGUCAUUAAAUUUAAUAAUUUGGGGAAUUACUUAUUUUUAAUUAAUUUCUUGUUUGGUUGGGGUGAUUGUAGAAUUUUAUGAACUUCUAUUGUUUAGUUUUCAAUAAUUAUUGUUUUAUUGAUCCAUAUAUAAUGAUUAAAAGAUUAAGUUACCUUAGGGAUAACAGCGUAAUUCUUUCGGAGAGUUCAUAUUGAUGAAGGAGUUUGCGACCUCGAUGUUGGAUUAAAAUAAGUAUUAGGUGUAGCAGCUUAAUAACUAGGUCUGUUCGACCUUUGAAGUUUUACAUGAUCUGAGUUCAAACCGGAGA
RNAcentral lists this ribosomal RNA (541 nucleotides) under Rhodnius paraensis. RNAcentral's name for it is "partial large subunit ribosomal RNA". It matches the Rfam family "Bacterial large subunit ribosomal RNA", at positions 1808 to 2622 of the family's 2925-position model. Lineage: Eukaryota; Metazoa; Arthropoda; Insecta; Hemiptera; Reduviidae. The record is from RNAcentral.